CCUACGGGGGGCUGCAGUGGGGAAUAUUGGACAAUGGGCGAAAGCCUGAUCCAGCCAUGCCGCGUGUGUGAAGAAGGCCUUCGGGUUGUAAAGCACUUUCAGUGGGGAAGAAAGCCUUGGGGCUAAUACCCUCGAGGAAGGACAUCACCCACAGAAGAAGCACCGGCUAACUCCGUGCCACCAGCCGCGGUAAUACGGAGGGUGCGAGCGUUAAUCGGAAUUACUGGGCGUAAAGCGCGCGUAGGCGGUCUGAUAAGCCGGUUGUGAAAGCCCCGGGCUCAACCUGGGAACGGCAUCCGGAACUGUCAGGCUAGAGUGCAGGAGAGGAAGGUAGAAUUCCCGGUGUAGCGGUGAAAUGCGUAGAGAUCGGGAGGAAUACCAGUGGCGAAGGCGGCCUUCUGGACUGACACUGACGCUGAGGUGCGAAAGCGUGGGUAGCAAACAGGAUUAGAUACCCCAGUAGUC
RNAcentral lists this ribosomal RNA (465 nucleotides) under Vreelandella stevensii. RNAcentral's name for it is "partial 16S ribosomal RNA". It matches the Rfam family "Bacterial small subunit ribosomal RNA", at positions 338 to 795 of the family's 1533-position model. The record is from RNAcentral. Lineage: Bacteria; Pseudomonadati; Pseudomonadota; Gammaproteobacteria; Oceanospirillales; Halomonadaceae.